GCCAGCAGUGCCUGUUGGAAAUGUUGGCCAGCUUGUAAUAGAUUGGAUUAUUUCUAUGCUGCAUAUGUGUAAGAUUGGUUACUUCUACACCACUUCUCUUGGGCAGAUGGUUGGAAACUGUCCAUAUGCAACUGCAGAAGUAAAUUCAAUAGAACUCAGUACAGAUGCUGAAGUAUAUUCAUUGCCUUCAAAAAAGCUGGUGGCUCUUCAGUUAAGAUCCAUUUUUAUUAAGUACAAAUCAAAGCCAUUCUGUGAAAAAGCUGCUUUCCUGGGUGAAAAGUAGUAACUGUGCCAAAGUUAUUGUUCUUUCAAGCAGUCAUUCAUAUCACUGUAAUGAUCUACAUUUCACAUUGGCAAGACUCCCUUCUGAUACCUGCUUACAUCUUUGGUGCAAAAAAAACUGUUCAAAAUAAAAUAGAGACCCUUAACUGGGAAGAAAUGGAAAAAAGCCCAUGCAUUCCUGAAAUAGAUGAUUUUGAGUUUUGUAUCUAUAUUCCUGGAGGAAGUAUCACAAAAAUACUCUAUACUGAAGGUUGUUUUAAAGAAAUCCCAGAUG
RNAcentral lists this long non-coding RNA (556 nucleotides) under Lynx pardinus (Iberian lynx). The record is from RNAcentral. Lineage: Eukaryota; Metazoa; Chordata; Mammalia; Carnivora; Felidae.